UGCAGUCGAACGGGUGUCUUCGGGCACUAGUGGCGGACGGGUGAGUAACGCGUGGGAACGUACCCUUUGGUUCGGAAUAGCCUCGGGAAACUGGGAGUAAUACCGGAUAAGCUCUUCGGAGGAAAGAUUUAUCGCCAAAGGAUCGGCCCGCGUUGGAUUAGGUAGUUGGUGGGGUAAUGGCCUACCAAGCCGACGAUCCAUAGCUGGUUUGAGAGGAUGAUCAGCCACACUGGGACUGAGACACGGCCCAGACUCCUACGGGAGGCAGCAGUGGGGAAUCUUAGACAAUGGGGGAAACCCUGAUCUAGCCAUGCCGCGUGAUCGAUGAAGGCCUUAGGGUUGUGAAGAUCUUUCAGUGGGGAAGAUAAUGACGGUACCCACAGAAGAAGCCCCGGCUAACUCCGUGCCAGCAGCCGCGGUAAUACGGAGGGGGCUAGCGUUGUUCGGAAUUACUGGGCGUAAAGCGCACGUAGGCGGAUUGGAAAGUUGGAGGUGAAAUCCCAGGGCUCAACCUUGGAACUGCCUUCAAAACUCCCAGUCUUGAGGUCGAGAGAGGUGAGUGGAAUUCCGAGUGUAGAGGUGAAAUUCGUAGAUAUUCGGAGGAACACCAGUGGCGAAGGCGGCUCACUGGCUCGAUACUGACGCUGAGGUGCGAAAGCGUG
This 662-nucleotide ribosomal RNA is filed under the name uncultured bacterium. RNAcentral describes it as "bacterial SSU rRNA". It matches the Rfam family "Bacterial small subunit ribosomal RNA", at positions 56 to 763 of the family's 1533-position model. The record is from RNAcentral.